GCAUGUAUAAAAUAAACAUCAGUGGGGAAAGGAAGAGAUUUCUCAGGGGGCAAAAAAGUCACGGAAAGGUGUGCUGCACCCUGGGCAGUAAGUGGAGGAUCAGGUUACUCUGUUGUUGUAAAUAGUGUCAAUUCUGUAUUCUAGAUGGAAAACCCAGCAAAUGACAGCUUUCUCUAGUAAUUCCUGAGGCCAUCUGCCCCGCUUUAGAGAAUAAGUCAUAAGUAAACCUCUGAACUAAGACAGUCUCGCUGGUCCUCUCCUUUCGCAAUUGUCUUCCAGUCUCAAUGGGAUACUGAAGAGGAGGCUCUUCAGUAUAGAAUAAACAGUGCAAUCCUUGUCCGGGAAUGACUGCCUGGCAGUUGUUUCAUGGAAAACAGGGAGGGGUGGGGGACAACAACCCUUUUCUGUUCACUGGCUCUUUAAUUUAGAUUACCAAUGAUAAAGCCCGGGCUACGGCUAAAGAAAGGUAGGAUGCAGACGCAGGAACAUUAGUGCUAAUAUGCUGCAGAAAGACGAGAUAAAUCAGCCCAGCUCUCAUACAUCACUGAGGGAGACGCUGAUUGCAACUUGACCAUGUGCCUGAGUAGUCCCCUCAGUGAGAGGAGCAGAACAUGGAUUAAAAAAAUCUAGAAUGUACCUUUAGGGGCUCCUGCUGAGCUGGACCUGGGAGGAGAGUCUGGUGUAAGUUUCAGCUCGUUUUAUCCACGUAUUUGCCAGUGUGUUCCCACGCAGGGAGCUUGUUUCUCUUUCUCUGUUUUCAUGGAAGCCUCAAGCAUGUUUAUUUACAGUCCUAGACUUCAUUUUGUAUAAAUGGAAUACCAACCUAAUAAAGUUCUUAACAGAGAACAGUUUAGCCCAGGGUUUAUCCAGAAGAGAAAUGUGAAAAAGUGAUGUGAUCAUUACUGUCUAUAGGAAGCCUGUGGAAAUAUCGGCAGUACAUGGCGGGACUUCUGGCUCCUCCUUAUGGUGUUAUGGAAACGGGCUCUAACAAUGAUAAUACCCUAACUUCUAUCCACUCCAGUAUGAGGAUUUGUACAACUGCGUUUGUCUUAUUAAACCUCCCAGAAAGUAAGCUUCUGUUACAACCCUGUAUCUCCUC
Molecule: long non-coding RNA, 1099 nt
Filed under: Capra hircus (goat)
Lineage: Eukaryota; Metazoa; Chordata; Mammalia; Artiodactyla; Bovidae
Description: lncRNA (ENSCHIG00000000735.1)
Source: RNAcentral